GUAGGUGAACCUGCGGAAGGAUCAUUAACACGUAUCCAAACGUGAAAACCCCCCCCCCGUGUCUUGUAAGCCGCGUAGUUCGCAAUCUCUGGGAAAUCAAAGUGGGAGGAAAGUUGUUUGAUUCAGAGACAUUGGAACAGUUACAAUCGAGCGGUAGUUUCAUAGGCAUUGUUUCCGUCAGGAAAGUGUCACUUAUUGUGCAAGGAUAGCGCUUCACGAUUCCUGUUGGGCACGAGCUAUGCCAAAGGGUCCCCAUGUCCCCUAAUAAUCCCACAGUUUAACGUAAAGCUACAUUGGCUACAAAAACCGAACAACUGAACAAUGGAUAUCUUGUUCUC
This 338-nucleotide unclassified non-coding RNA is filed under the name rhizosphere metagenome. RNAcentral describes it as "partial ribosomal RNA internal transcribed spacer region". The record is from RNAcentral.